CACAAAUAUGGCUAGGAUGGAUGAGAAUAGAAGUCCAAAUGAUUGAAGAAUCCAAUAUUAGAUGAGUUAAUGAUAAAUUUGCAAAAUGAAAUAAUUCUAACAUGCUCUAGGAUCAAUUAUACUGUAUUGAGGAAUCAAUGAAUGAAGACUUGAUUUGCAGACAGAGUCACCAAGGACAUACAAGUAUCAUCUGGAUAAAAUUUUUGCAAAUGAGAGUGCAG
This 221-nucleotide unclassified non-coding RNA is filed under the name Hevea brasiliensis (rubber tree). The record is from RNAcentral. Lineage: Eukaryota; Viridiplantae; Streptophyta; Magnoliopsida; Malpighiales; Euphorbiaceae.